This 501-nucleotide ribosomal RNA is filed under the name uncultured bacterium. Its description in RNAcentral is "partial 16S ribosomal RNA". It matches the Rfam family "Bacterial small subunit ribosomal RNA", at positions 30 to 523 of the family's 1533-position model. The record is from RNAcentral.
AUUGAACGCUGGCGGCAGGCUUAACACAUGCAAGUCGAGCGGAGAUGAGGUGCUUGCACCUUAUCUUAGCGGCGGACGGGUGAGUAAUGCUUAGGAAUCUGCCUAUUAGUGGGGGACAACAUUCCGAAAGGAAUGCUAAUACCGCAUACGUCCUACGGGAGAAAGCAGGGGAUCUUCGGACCUUGCGCUAAUAGAUGAGCCUAAGUCGGAUUAGCUAGUUGGUGGGGUAAAGGCCUACCAAGGCGACGAUGUGUAGCGGGUCUGAGAGGAUGAUCCGCCACAAUGGGACUGAGACACGGCCCAGACUCCUACGGGAGGCAGCAGUGGGGAAUAUUGGACAAUGGGGGGAACCCUGAUCCAGCCAUGCCGCGUGUGUGAAGAAGGCCUUAUGGUUGUAAAGCACUUUAAGCGAGGAGGAGGCUACUGAGACUAAUACUCUUGGAUAGUGGACGUUACUCGCAGAAUAAGCACCGGCUAACUCUGUGCCAGCAGCCGCGGUAA